Molecule: unclassified non-coding RNA, 345 nt
Filed under: soil metagenome
Description: partial contains 5.8S ribosomal RNA, internal transcribed spacer 2, and large subunit ribosomal RNA
Rfam family: 5.8S ribosomal RNA (bases 1-120)
Source: RNAcentral
GAUGAAGAACGUAGUGAAAUGCGAUACAUAAUGUGAAUUGCAGAAUUCAGUGAAUCAUCGAGUCUUUGAACGCACAUUGCGCCCCCUGGUAUUCCGGGGGGCAUGCCUGUCCGAGCGUCAUUGCUGCCCUCAAGCACGGCUUGUGUGUUGGGCCUCCGUCCUCCUCCCGGGGGACGGGCCCGAAAGGCAGCGGCGGCACCGCGUCCGGUCCUCGAGCGUAUGGGGCUUCGUCACCCGCUCUUGUAGGCCCGGCCGGCGCUUGCCGACACAUCAAUCUUUUUUCCAGGUUGACCUCGGAUCAGGUAGGGAUACCCGCUGAACUUAAGCAUAUCAAUAAGCGGAGGA